This 253-nucleotide ribosomal RNA is filed under the name uncultured bacterium. RNAcentral's name for it is "partial 16S ribosomal RNA". It matches the Rfam family "Bacterial small subunit ribosomal RNA", at positions 524 to 776 of the family's 1533-position model. The record is from RNAcentral.
UACAGGGGGUGCAAACGUUGCUCGGAAUCAUUGGGCGUAAAGCGCACGUAGGCGGUUCGUUAUGUCGGAUGUGAAAGCCCUUGGCUUAACCGAGGAAGUGCAUCCGAAACUGGCGAGCUAGAGUACGAAAGAGGAUCGCGGAAUUCCCGGUGUAGAGGUGAAAUGCGCAGAUAUCGGGAAGAACACCCGUGGCGAAGGCGGCUCUCUGGGACGGUACUGACGCUGAGACGCGAGAGCGUGGGGAGCAAACCGG